CCCCUUCGGGGGUGACGCUUGUGGAAUGAGCGGCGGACGGGUGAGUAACACGUGGGCAACCUGCCUGUAAGACUGGGAUAACCCCGGGAAACCGGGGCUAAUACCGGAUAAUACUUUCUUUUGCAUAAAGGAAAGUUGAAAGGCGGCUUCGGCUGUCACUUACAGAUGGGCCCGCGGCGCAUUAGCUAGUUGGUGAGGUAACGGCUCACCAAGGCGACGAUGCGUAGCCGACCUGAGAGGGUGAUCGGCCACACUGGGACUGAGACACGGCCCAGACUCCUACGGGAGGCAGCAGUAGGGAAUCUUCCGCAAUGGACGAAAGUCUGACGGAGCAACGCCGCGUGAGUGAUGAAGGUUUUCGGAUCGUAAAACUCUGUUGUUAGGGAAGAACAAGUAGGAUAGUAACUGAUCCUACCUUGACGGUACCUAACCAGAAAGCCACGGCUAACUACGUGCCAGCAGCCGCGGUAAUACGUAGGUGGCAAGCGUUGUCCGGAAUUAUUGGGCGUAAAGCGCUCGCAGGCGGUCCUUUAAGUCUGAUGUGAAAUCUCGCGGCUCAACCGCGAACGGUCAUUGGAAACUGGAGGACUUGAGUACAGAAGAGGAGAGUGGAAUUCCACGUGUAGCGGUGAAAUGCGUAGAGAUGUGGAGGAACACCAGUGGCGAAGGCGACUCUCUGGUCUGUAACUGACGCUGAGGAGCGAAAGCGUGGGGAGCGAACAGGAUUAGAUACCCUGGUAGUCCACGCCGUAAACGAUGAGUGCUAGGUGUUAGGGGGUUUCCGCCCCUUAGUGCUGAAGUUAACGCAUUAAGCACUCCGCCUGGGGAGUACGGCCGCAAGGCUGAAACUCAAAAGAAUUGACGGGGGCCCGCACAAGCGGUGGAGCAUGUGGUUUAAUU
Molecule: ribosomal RNA, 900 nt
Filed under: Oceanobacillus picturae
Lineage: Bacteria; Bacillati; Bacillota; Bacilli; Caryophanales; Bacillaceae
Description: bacterial SSU rRNA
Rfam family: Bacterial small subunit ribosomal RNA
Source: RNAcentral